CACCGGCGGACGGCUCAGUAACACGUGGACAACCUACCCUCGGGUGGGGGAUAACCUCGGGAAACUGAGGCUAAUACCCCAUAGGUCUCAGGUACUGGAAGGUCCUGAGACUGAAAGCUCCGGCGCCCGAGGAUGGGUCUGCGGCCUAUCAGGUAGUUGGUGGUGUAAAGGACCACCAAGCCUACGACGGGUACGGGCCCUGAGAGGGGUAGCCCGGAGAUGGACUCUGAGACACGAGUCCAGGCCCUACGGGGCGCAGCAGGCGCGAAACCUUCGCAAUGCGCGAAAGCGCGACGAGGGGAGCCCGAGUGCCCUUCCUUUUGGGAGGGCUUUUCCGGAGUCUAAAAAGCUCCGGGAAUAAGGGCUGGGCAAGACGGGUGCCAGCCGCCGCGGUAAUACCCGCAGCUCGAGUGGUGGCCACUAUUAUUGAGCCUAAAGCGUCCGUAGCCGGACCCGUAAAUCCCUGGGUAAAUCCUGGCGCUUAACGUCAGGAAUUCCGGGGAGACUGCGGGUCUUGGGACCGGGAGAGGCCGGAGGUACUCCCGGGGUAGGGGUAAAAUCCUGUAAUCCCGGGGGGACCACCUGUGGCGAAAGCGUCCGGCUU
This 604-nucleotide ribosomal RNA is filed under the name uncultured archaeon. Its description in RNAcentral is "bacterial SSU rRNA". It matches the Rfam family "Archaeal small subunit ribosomal RNA", at positions 76 to 682 of the family's 1478-position model. The record is from RNAcentral.